GGCAUAUUUUGCCCAGGUGGAGCUCGGCCGCCCCUCCAAACGAUGAUCUCGUUCAUCGACGAACGCCGCGGAGUGUUCCGGGUCGAGCCGAUCUGCAGACUGCUGCCGAUUGCCCCG
Molecule: regulatory RNA element, 117 nt
Organism: Rhizobium sp. Root482
Lineage: Bacteria; Pseudomonadati; Pseudomonadota; Alphaproteobacteria; Hyphomicrobiales; Rhizobiaceae
Rfam family: ALIL pseudoknot
Source: Rfam